GACGAACGCUGGCGGCGUGCUUAACACAUGCAAGUCGAACGGAAAGGCCCUGCUUUUGUGGGGUGCUCGAGUGGCGAACGGGUGAGUAACACGUGAGUAACCUGCCCUUGACUUUGGGAUAACUUCAGGAAACUGGGGCUAAUACCGGAUAGGAGCUCCUGCUGCAUGGUGGGGGUUGGAAAGUUUCGGCGGUUGGGGAUGGACUCGCGGCUUAUCAGCUUGUUGGUGGGGUAGUGGCUUACCAAGGCUUUGACGGGUAGCCGGCCUGAGAGGGUGACCGGCCACAUUGGGACUGAGAUACGGCCCAGACUCCUACGGGAGGCAGCAGUGGGGAGUAUUGCACAAUGGGCGGAAGCCUGAUGCAGCAACGCCGCGUGCGGGAUGACGGCCUUCGGGUUGUAAACCGCUUUCGCCUGUGACGAAGCGUGAGUGACGGUAAUGGGUAAAGAAGCACCGGCUAACUACGU
This 467-nucleotide ribosomal RNA is filed under the name uncultured bacterium. Its description in RNAcentral is "partial 16S ribosomal RNA". It matches the Rfam family "Bacterial small subunit ribosomal RNA", at positions 28 to 506 of the family's 1533-position model. The record is from RNAcentral.